AUUGAACGCUGGCGGCAGGCCUAACACAUGCAAGUCGAGCGAGCGGCGGACGGGUGAGUAAUGUAUGGGGACUGCCCGAUAGCGGGGGAUAACUACUGGAAACGGUAGCUAAUACCGCAUACUAUCGGAUAACCCAUAUGGGAUUGGCUAGUAGGUGAGGUAAUGGCUCCCCUGGGCGACGAUCCCUAGCUGGGCUGGGAGGAUGAUCAGCAACACUGGGACUGGGACACGGCCCGGACUCCUAGGGAGGCAGCAGAGGGGAAUAUUGCACAAUGGGGGAAAGCCGGAUGCAGCAAUGCCGCGUGUAUGAAGAAGGCCCUAGGGUUGUAAAGUACGUUCAGUCGGGAGGCGUUACCGACAGAAGAAGCACCGGCUAACUCCGUGCCAGCAGCCGCGGUAAUAC
Molecule: ribosomal RNA, 403 nt
Filed under: uncultured bacterium
Lineage: Bacteria
Description: partial 16S ribosomal RNA
Rfam family: Bacterial small subunit ribosomal RNA
Source: RNAcentral